ACGAGACGGGAUGGAAUGACCCUUCGGGGGAAUGAAAUCCUAGAAAGUGGCGAACGGGUGAGUAACGCGUGGGUAACCUGCCCUAUGGAAAGGAAUAGCCUCGGGAAACUGGGAGUAAUGCCUUAUAAUAUACGAGAGUCGCAUGGCUUUUGUAUUAAACGCUCCGGUGCCAUAGGAUGGACCCGCGUCCCAUUAGCUAGUUGGUGAGAUAACAGCCCACCAAGGCAACGAUGGGUAACCGGUCUGAGAGGGCGAACGGUCACACCGGAACUAAGACACGGUCCAGACUCCUACGGGAGGCAGCAGUGGGGAAUAUUGCGCAAUGGGGGCAACCCUGACGCAGCAAUACCGCGUGAGUGAAGAAGGUUUUCGGAUCGUAAAGCUCUGUUAUUGGGGAAGAAAAAAGACGGUACCCAAGAAGAAAGUCCCGGCUAACUACGUGCCAGCAGCCGCGGUAAUACGUAGGGGACAAGCGUUGUCCGGAUUUACUGGGCGUAAAGGGCACGCAGGCGGUUUUUUAAGUCAGAUGUGAAAGGUACCGGCUCAACCGGUGACAUGCAUUUGAAACUGAAAGACUUGAGUAUUGGAGAGGCAAGUGGAAUUCCUAGUGUAGCGGUGAAAUGCGUAGAUAUUAGGAGGAACACCGGUGGCGAAGGCGGCUUGCUGGACA
RNAcentral lists this ribosomal RNA (670 nucleotides) under uncultured Acetobacterium sp. Its description in RNAcentral is "bacterial SSU rRNA". It matches the Rfam family "Bacterial small subunit ribosomal RNA", at positions 66 to 735 of the family's 1533-position model. The record is from RNAcentral. Lineage: Bacteria; Bacillati; Bacillota; Clostridia; Eubacteriales; Eubacteriaceae.